RNAcentral lists this ribosomal RNA (523 nucleotides) under uncultured bacterium. RNAcentral's name for it is "bacterial SSU rRNA". It matches the Rfam family "Bacterial small subunit ribosomal RNA", at positions 776 to 1297 of the family's 1533-position model. The record is from RNAcentral.
CAAUAGAUACCCGGGUAGUCCACGCCGUAAACGAUGAGUGCUAAGUGUUAGAGGGUUUCCGCCCUUUAGUGCUGCAGCUAACGCAUUAAGCACUCCGCCUGGGGAGUACGGCCGCAAGGCUGAAACUCAAAGGAAUUGACGGGGGCCCGCACAAGCGGUGGAGCAUGUGGUUUAAUUCGAAGCAACGCGAAGAACCUUACCAGGUCUUGACAUCCUCUGCCAACCCUAGAGAUAGGGCGUUCCCCUUCGGGGGACAGAGUGACAGGUGGUGCAUGGUUGUCGUCAGCUCGUGUCGUGAGAUGUUGGGUUAAGUCCCGCAACGAGCGCAACCCUUGAUCUUAGUUGCCAGCAUUCAGUUGGGCACUCUAAGGUGACUGCCGGUGACAAACCGGAGGAAGGUGGGGAUGACGUCAAAUCAUCAUGCCCCUUAUGACCUGGGCUACACACGUGCUACAAUGGAUGGUACAAAGAGCUGCGAACCCGCGAGGGUAAGCGAAUCUCAUAAAGCCAUUCUCAGUUCGGA